UUUUCAAAAUUUCCUUAUUUUCUUUGCGGUUUUUUUUUUCUUUCAAUUUUUUCUAGAACUCUACAUUGUUUAAGGGGAUAUGGUAAUAUUAUGGAUUUUAUGUUUAUUGAGAGGGAAAUGAUAGUUAUUUAUUGUCAUCUGAUUUGCAUCUCAUAUUUGGAUGCAAAAUUAGUGAUUGACAUUAUUUUAUCUGAUUUUCUCUAAAAAAUGAUGUAAAAAUUCCUAUGGGUAUAUCUUCUUUUAGCUUUUGUUUCAGU
Molecule: long non-coding RNA, 257 nt
Filed under: Nicotiana benthamiana
Lineage: Eukaryota; Viridiplantae; Streptophyta; Magnoliopsida; Solanales; Solanaceae
Description: long non-coding RNA (NBEN_LNC042544)
Source: RNAcentral